AAGGGUUUUGCUUCCAAAUCCAGAAUACAACUUGAAUCCAUUUUGACUCUCUUCGACAGUGAGUGAAUGUGAGUGAAGGACGGUGAUUUUUGAAGCAGGACGAUGAGAUAAGGACAUUGGAUCUCACAUAACUCUACGUGUAUUUAGGAAGGGGGAUUCGUUCUUCACCUCUGCAUCUCCGAACGAGAGGUGAUGGACAAGAACAUAGGGGAAACGACACUAAGGUCUUCAAAGAUGGGGAAAAGAUCUAAUUCCUUUUUUUGUUUCUGUGUGUGGGAUCUUCUGCAAUUUGGUCACUGCUGAAAUUGUUGUAUAUCGUGUUUUUUUGUGUAUGGCUACUAUGAACUUUUUAGAAGAAGAAAACAUAGGUCUCAUGGUUUUCGGAUUUUGGGGAAAAAGAAAUUCAGGGGAAGUCUCCCCUCGUCCAUUUCAAUCUGCACCAAGAACUUAUUAGCCAUAACCAUUUUCCCUAAAUCAAUUAACCAAAAUAUAG
Molecule: long non-coding RNA, 493 nt
Filed under: Nicotiana benthamiana
Lineage: Eukaryota; Viridiplantae; Streptophyta; Magnoliopsida; Solanales; Solanaceae
Description: long non-coding RNA (NBEN_LNC040306)
Source: RNAcentral